RNAcentral lists this small nuclear RNA (306 nucleotides) under Myotis brandtii (Brandt's bat). RNAcentral describes it as "7SK RNA". It matches the Rfam family "7SK RNA". From Rfam's summary of the family: 7SK was discovered as an abundant small nuclear RNA in the mid-70s but a possible function has only recently been suggested. Two independent studies have found that 7SK RNA binds the CDK9/cyclin T complex (known as elongation factor P-TEFb). Lineage: Eukaryota; Metazoa; Chordata; Mammalia; Chiroptera; Vespertilionidae. The record is from Rfam by way of RNAcentral.
GGAUGUGAGGGCAAUCUGGCUGCGACAUCUGUCACCCCAUUGAUCACCAGGGUUGAUUUGGCUGAUCUGGCUGGCUAAGCAGGUGUCCCCCUCCUCCCUCACCAACCUAUGUGAGUCCCUCCCACAGCUGUAUCCUAGGUCAAAGAGGACAAACUGCCCCCCAGAGGAGGGACACAGUCUUCCAUCAAGGGUAUAAGAGUAACUGCGCUCCCCUCCUAGAAUCUCCAAACAAGUUCUCAAAAAUCCCAUGUAGUCGUGUGAAUCAAAUAGGAUAAUAAAUGCAUAACCUCUUUGAAAAUUCUAAAG